This 414-nucleotide ribosomal RNA is filed under the name Babesia divergens. RNAcentral's name for it is "SSU rRNA". It matches the Rfam family "Eukaryotic small subunit ribosomal RNA", at positions 454 to 922 of the family's 1831-position model. Lineage: Eukaryota; Apicomplexa; Aconoidasida; Piroplasmida; Babesiidae. The record is from RNAcentral.
ACACAGGGAGGUAGUGACAAGAAAUAACAAUACAGGGCAAUUGUCUUGUAAUUGGAAUGAUGGUGACCUAAACCCUCACCAGAGUAACAAUUGGAGGGCAAGUCUGGUGCCAGCAGCCGCGGUAAUUCCAGCUCCAAUAGCGUAUAUUAAACUUGUUGCAGUUAAAAAGCUCGUAGUUGAAUUUUUGCGUGGUGUUAAUAUUGACUAAUGUCGAGAUUGCACUUCGCUUUUGGGAUUUAUCCCUUUUUACUUUGAGAAAAUUAGAGUGUUUCAAGCAGACUUUUGUCUUGAAUACUUCAGCAUGGAAUAAUAGAGUAGGACUUUGGUUCUAUUUUGUUGGUUUGUGAACCUUAGUAAUGGUUAAUAGGAACGGUUGGGGGCAUUCGUAUUUAACUGUCAGAGGUGAAAUUCUUA